AAUGAACGCUGGCGGCAUGCCUAACACAUGCAAGUCGAACGAGACCUUCGGGUCCAGUGGCGCACGGGUGCGUAACGCGUGGGAACAUGCCCUCAGGUUCGGACUAACUCUCCGACAGGGGUGCUAACACCGGAUAAUGUCUUCGGCCCAAAGAUAUAUCGCCUUUGGAUGGGCCAGCGUUGGAUUAGCUAGUUGGUAGGGUAAAAGCUUACCAAGGCGACGAUUCAUAGCUGGUCUGAGAGAAAGAUUAGCCACACUGGGACUGGGACACGGCCCAGACUCCUACGGGAGGCAGCAGUGGGGGAUAGUGGACAGUGGGCGGAAGCCUGAUGCAGCAAUGCCGCGUGAGUGAUGAAGGCCUUAGGGAUGUAAAGCUCUAUUACCCGGGAUGAUAAUGACAGUACCGGAAGAAAAAGCUCCGGCUAACUCCGUG
RNAcentral lists this ribosomal RNA (433 nucleotides) under uncultured bacterium. RNAcentral's name for it is "partial 16S ribosomal RNA". It matches the Rfam family "Bacterial small subunit ribosomal RNA", at positions 29 to 507 of the family's 1533-position model. The record is from RNAcentral.